This 1192-nucleotide long non-coding RNA is filed under the name Homo sapiens (human). Its description in RNAcentral is "non-protein coding SNHG1:49". The stretch from base 108 to 182 matches the Rfam family "Small nucleolar RNA SNORD26". The record is from RNAcentral. Lineage: Eukaryota; Metazoa; Chordata; Mammalia; Primates; Hominidae.
UCUGCAGGAUUUACGCGCACGUUGGAACCGAAGAGAGCUCUGUUGUUGCAGUAAGUUCUUACGGCCAUUUCUUAAUCUCUGCUCUUUCGUUGAGUGUGUGGAAGUUGCUACGGGGAUGAUUUUACGAACUGAACUCUCUCUUUCUGAUGGAUUAGUGGAGAAAACAGAAAAUUCUGAGUAGCACUGUACUGUACGCAACAAAUGUCAGGGCCCUAUUGAUUUGUCUGAGGUGUUAGUGAAGGGUGUUAUUUUUUCAGAUGUUCAGCCCACAAGAGCUUACUGGUGAAGGAAUGGGACAAGACCCAUCUUUAUGCAAAGCCAGCGUUACAGUAAUGUUCCAGGAGCAGCUUGUUGCUAUAUACCAUUGAAAAGCCUUCAGAGCUGAGAGGUACUACUAACCAAUAACCUGCUUGGCUCAAAGGGCCAGCACCUUCUCUCUAAAGCCCAAGAGGAGUUUGAGGAAAACUAGGUGUCUGUGUUCACUCCAGGCUGAAGUUACAGGUCUGAGCAAAUAAGGUGUAUAAAAAAUGGAAUCUGUCUUGGAGGACAUCAGAAGGUGAAUUUUCCAAGUUCUUGGACAACCUAGCUGUUGAAAAGCUUUCUGGGUUUGGGGGGUAUUUCAGAUGUACCUUAAAGUGUUAGCAGACACAGAUUAAGACACUGGGAGCCAAUGAAACAGCAGUUGAGGGUUUGCUGUGUAUCACAUUUCUGUAUUUUAUCACCCCCUUCCUGCAACAUUAUUUAUCUGGAAUCUACCUGCCCUUUUGUUUUUUAGAUACAAGGGCUUGGUUUUGUUACCCAGGCUGGUUUCAAGGCCAUAGCUUUAAGAGAUCCUCUCACCACAGAUUUCCAAAGUGCUGGGAUUGCAGGUGUGAUUCAUGGCACCCAGACUUUGCUGCCUUUCUUACAUGAUCCAGGCCCAGAACCCAAACUCAGGCACUGUAUAGAUGACCACUUUCGUAAACUACUGACCUAGCUUGUUGCCAAUUGUUGAUUGAACUUCCCAUAACUCCACUUCGUGUCUGUUCCUCUGUAUACAGCCACCUUCUGUUCCCGUCAUGAGCCUUUAGGUCUCCAUUUGCAUAUUGCAAAUACUAUGUUCCAUGUAGGUAGCUCAUUCAGGGCCUUGCUCUUCACUUCAAAAAAGGUUCCCUUGAGGACUGGCUGUCAAUUUGUGUUGCUGUGUUGGUUG